RNAcentral lists this ribosomal RNA (256 nucleotides) under uncultured bacterium. Its description in RNAcentral is "partial 16S ribosomal RNA". It matches the Rfam family "Bacterial small subunit ribosomal RNA", at positions 523 to 776 of the family's 1533-position model. The record is from RNAcentral.
UGACGGAGGGGGCUAGCGUUUGUUCGGGAAUUACUGGGCGUAAAGCGCACGUAGGCGGCUUUGUAAGUUAGAGGUGAAAGCCCGGGGCUCAACUCCGGAAUUGCCUUUAAGACUGCAUCGCUAGAAUUGUGGAGAGGUAAGUGGAAUUCCGAGUGUAGAGGUGAAAUUCGUAGAUAUUCGGAAGAACACCAGUGGCGAAGGCGACUUACUGGACACAUAUUGACGCUGAGGUGCGAAAGCGUGGGGAGCAAACAGG